Molecule: ribosomal RNA, 434 nt
Filed under: uncultured bacterium
Lineage: Bacteria
Description: bacterial SSU rRNA
Rfam family: Bacterial small subunit ribosomal RNA
Source: RNAcentral
AGGAGGCAGCAGUGGGGAAUCUUGCACAAUGGGGGAAACCCUGAUGCAGCGACGCCGCGUGAGCGAUGAAGCCCUUCGGGGUGUAAAGCUCUUUCGGCAGGGAAGAAUCAUGACGGUACCUGCAGAAGCAGCUGCGGCUAACUACGUGCCAGCAGCCGCGGUAAUACGUAGGCAGCGAGCGUUGUUCGGAGUUACUGGGCGUAAAGGGUGCGUAGGCGGUUCUUUAAGUUUGGUGUGAAAUCUCCCGGCUCAACUGGGAGGGUGCGCCGGAUACUGAAGGACUAGAGUGCGGGAGGGGAGAGUGGAAUUCCUGGUGUAGCGGUGAAAUGCGUAGAUAUCAGGAGGAACACCUGUGGUGCAAACGGCUCUCUGGACCGUAACUGACGCUGAGGCACGAAAGCGUGGGGAGCAAACAGGAUUAGAUACCCUCGUAC